Molecule: ribosomal RNA, 429 nt
Filed under: Actinomycetes bacterium
Lineage: Bacteria; Bacillati; Actinomycetota; Actinomycetes
Description: Actinobacteria bacterium partial 16S ribosomal RNA
Rfam family: Bacterial small subunit ribosomal RNA
Source: RNAcentral
UAGGGAAUCUUCCGCAAUGGGCGAAAGCUUGACGGAGCAACGCCGCGUGAGUGAUGAAGGUCUUCGGAUCGUAAAACUCUGUUAUUAGGGAAGAACAAAUGUGUAAGUAACUAUGCACGUCUUGACGGUACCUAAUCAGAAAGCCACGGCUAACUACGUGCCAGCAGCCGCGGUAAUACGUAGGUGGCAAGCGUUAUCCGGAAUUCUUGGGCGUAAAGCGCGCGUAGGCGGUUUUUUAAGUCUGAUGUGAAAGCCCACGGCUCAACCGUGGAGGGUCAUUGGAAACUGGAAAACUUUAGUGCAGAAGAGGACAGUGGAAUUCCAUGUGUAACCGUGAAAUGCGCAGAGCUAUGGAGGAAAACCAGUGGCGAAGGCGACUUUCUGGUCUGUAACUGACGCAGCUGUGCGAAAGCGUGGGGAUCAAACAGG